AACGAACGCUGGCGGCAGGCUUAACACAUGCAAGUCGAGCGCCCCGCAAGGGGAGCGGCCGGCGGGUGAGUAACGCGUGGGAACGUACCUUUUGGUUCGGAACAACUCCGGGAAACUGGAGCUAAUACCGGAUAAGCCCUAACGGGGAAAGAUUUAUCGCCGAAAGAUCGGCCCGCGUCUGAUUAGCUAGUUGGUGAGGUAACGGCUCACCAAGGCAACGAUCAGUAGCUGGUCUGAGAGGAUGAUCAGCCACACUGGGACUGAGACACGGCCCAGACUCGUGGGGGAGGCAGACGUAGGGAAUAGGCCGGAAUGGGCGAGAGACUGACGGAGCAAAGGGGCGUGAGUGAGGAAGGGGUUUGGAGCGGAAAACUGUGGUAUUAGGGAAGAACAAAGGGGCAAGUAACUAUGCACGGCGGGACGGGAACUAAUCAGAAAGCCACGGCCAAUUACGUG
Molecule: ribosomal RNA, 456 nt
Filed under: uncultured bacterium
Lineage: Bacteria
Description: partial 16S ribosomal RNA
Rfam family: Bacterial small subunit ribosomal RNA
Source: RNAcentral